UAGGGAAUCUUCGGCAAUGGACGAAAGUCUGACCGAGCAACGCCGCGUGAGUGAAGAAGGUUUUCGGAUCGUAAAACUCUGUUGUUAGAGAAGAACAAGGACGUUAGUAACUGAACGUCCCCUGACGGUAUCUAACCAGAAAGCCACGGCUAACUACGUGCCAGCAGCCGCGGUAAUACGUAGGUGGCAAGCGUUGUCCGGUUUUAUUGGACGUAAAGCGAGCGCAGGCGGUUUCUUAAGUCUGAUGUGAAAGCCCCCGGCUCAACCGGGGAGGGUCAUUGGAAACUGGGAGACUUGAGUGCAGAAGAGGAGAGUGGAAUUCCAUGUGUAGCGGUGAAAUGCGUAGAUAUAUGGAGGAACACCAGUGGCGAAGGCGGCUCUCUGGUCUGUAACUGACGCUGAGGCUCGAAAGCGUGGGGAGCAAACAGG
This 429-nucleotide ribosomal RNA is filed under the name Gemmatimonadota bacterium. RNAcentral's name for it is "Gemmatimonadetes bacterium partial 16S ribosomal RNA". It matches the Rfam family "Bacterial small subunit ribosomal RNA", at positions 355 to 776 of the family's 1533-position model. The record is from RNAcentral. Lineage: Bacteria; Pseudomonadati; Gemmatimonadota.